GGCGAACGGGUGAGUAACACGUGGGUAAUCUGCCCUGCACUCUGGAAUAAGCCUGGGAAACUGGGUCUAAUACUGGAUAUGACCUUUCUCCUUAUGGGGUUUGGUGGAAAGUUUUUCGGUGUAGGAUGAGCCCGCGGCCUAUCAGCUUGUUGGUGGGGUGAUGGCCUACCAAGGCGACGACGGGUAGCCGGCCUGAGAGGGUGAUCGGCCACAUUGGGACUGAGAUACGGCCCAG
Molecule: ribosomal RNA, 235 nt
Filed under: uncultured Actinomycetales bacterium
Lineage: Bacteria; Bacillati; Actinomycetota; Actinomycetes; Actinomycetales
Description: partial 16S ribosomal RNA
Rfam family: Bacterial small subunit ribosomal RNA
Source: RNAcentral